Molecule: long non-coding RNA, 508 nt
Organism: Micropterus dolomieu (smallmouth bass)
Lineage: Eukaryota; Metazoa; Chordata; Actinopteri; Centrarchiformes; Centrarchidae
Exons: 5
Source: RefSeq, a predicted model, not a curated record
CACGUGUAGACUGUGACAGACCAGAUGAACCAGAGCGUCCUAAAACUCACUGUGAGCACCAAAGAGACAGUGUUCAGACUACAAGUUCAGAAGGACGUCCUAUAGCUGGAGCCUAUGUACCCCAAUGUGAUGCUAAUGGACAGUACACUCCUAGACAGUGCCACGGUUCCACUGGACAUUGUUGGUGUGUGGACGGUAGGGGACAGGAGAGAAGAGGAACCAGGACUCCACCUGGAACACCACGUGUAGACUGUGACAGACCAGAUGAACCAGAGCGUCCUAAAACUCACUGUGAGCACCAAAGAGACAGUGUUCAGACUACAAGUUCAGAAGGACGUCCUAUAGCUGGAGCCUAUGUACCCCAAUGUGAUGCUAAUGGACAGUACACUCCUAGACAGUGCCACGGUUCCACUGGACAUUGUUGGUGUGUGGACGGUAGGGGACAGGAGAGAAGAGGAACCAGGACUCCACCUGGAACACCACGUGUAGACUGUGACAGACCAGGUGA